UACAGAGGGGGCAAGCGUUGUUCGGAAUUACUGGGCGUAAAGGGCGCGUAGGCGGCCUGCUAAGUCGAACGUGAAAUCCCCGAGCUCAACUCGGGAACUGCGUCCGAUACUGGUUGGCUUGAAUCCGGGAGAGGGAUGCGGAAUUCCAGGUGUAGCGGUGAAAUGCGUAGAUAUCUGGAGGAACACCGGUGGCGAAGGCGGCAUCCUGGACCGGCAUUGACGCUGAGGCGCGAAAGCCAGGGGAGCGAACGGG
Molecule: ribosomal RNA, 253 nt
Filed under: uncultured bacterium
Lineage: Bacteria
Description: partial 16S ribosomal RNA
Rfam family: Bacterial small subunit ribosomal RNA
Source: RNAcentral